UGCGUAGGCGGUUGAAUAAGUCAGUGGUGAAAUACCGGGGCUCAACUCCGGAACUGCCAUUGAUACUGUUUAGCUAGAGAGUAGUUGCUGUGGGCGGAAUGUAUGGUGUAGCGGUGAAAUGCUUAGAGAUCAUACAGAACACCGAUUGCGAAGGCAGCUCACAAAACUAUAUCUGACGUUGAGGCACGAAAGCGUGGGGAGCAAACAGGAUUAGAUACCCCCGUA
This 225-nucleotide ribosomal RNA is filed under the name uncultured Alistipes sp. RNAcentral describes it as "partial 16S ribosomal RNA". It matches the Rfam family "Bacterial small subunit ribosomal RNA", at positions 568 to 792 of the family's 1533-position model. Lineage: Bacteria; Pseudomonadati; Bacteroidota; Bacteroidia; Bacteroidales; Rikenellaceae. The record is from RNAcentral.